Molecule: ribosomal RNA, 221 nt
Filed under: uncultured Methanococcoides sp.
Lineage: Archaea; Methanobacteriati; Methanobacteriota; Methanomicrobia; Methanosarcinales; Methanosarcinaceae
Description: partial 16S ribosomal RNA
Rfam family: Archaeal small subunit ribosomal RNA
Source: RNAcentral
AAUGCUUUUUGAUCAAAAGACUUCGGUUGCCUAAGGAUGGAUCUGCGGUCUAUCAGGUUGUAGUGGGUGUAACGUACCUACUAGCCUACGACGGAUAUGGGUUGUGAGAGCAAGAGCCCAGAGAUGGAUUCUGAGACAUGAAUCCAGGCCCUACGGGGCGCAGCAGGCGCGAAAUCUUUACAAUGCGGGAAACCGCGAUAAGGGGACACCGAGUGCCAGCA